AAGACUAUACUUUCAGGGAUCAUUUCGAUAGUUCGUUACUAGAGAAGUUUCUCUGACUGUGUAGAGCACCCGAAAACACGCGGAGAGAGGAAAUGUAGCGUUCUUUCCUGAAGCCAGUGUGAAGCUGGCUUUCAGUGUUGCUUUCUGCUACUUGCCACUGAUGAUCGUUCUUGAUCCUUUAUGAGGUUGAGAGGAAGAGAAUGCAGUCUGAGUG
This is a small nucleolar RNA of Mastomys coucha (southern multimammate mouse), 214 nucleotides long. RefSeq annotates it as small nucleolar RNA U3. Lineage: Eukaryota; Metazoa; Chordata; Mammalia; Rodentia; Muridae. The transcript has a single exon. The record is from RefSeq and is a predicted model, not a curated record.